RNAcentral lists this ribosomal RNA (420 nucleotides) under uncultured bacterium. Its description in RNAcentral is "bacterial SSU rRNA". It matches the Rfam family "Bacterial small subunit ribosomal RNA", at positions 355 to 767 of the family's 1533-position model. The record is from RNAcentral.
UGGGGAAUUUUGGACAAUGGGGGCAACCCUGAUCCAGCCAUGCCGCGUGAGUGAAGAAGGCCUUCGGGUUGUAAAGCUCUUUCGGCCGGGAAGAAAUCGUGGUCUCUAACAUAGGCCAUGGAUGACGGUACCGGACUAAGAAGCACCGGCUAACUACGUGCCAGCAGCCGCGGUAAUACGUAGGGUGCGAGCGUUAAUCGGAAUUACUGGGCGUAAAGCGUGCGCAGGCGGUUUUGUAAGACAGAUGUGAAAUCCCCGGGCUUAACCUGGGAACUGCGUUUGUGACUGCAAGGCUAGAGUACGGCAGAGGGGGGUGGAAUUCCUGGUGUAGCAGUGAAAUGCGUAGAGAUCAGGAGGAACACCGAUGGCGAAGGCAGUCCCCUGGGCCUGUACUGACGCUCAUGCACGAAAGCGUGGGGA